ACGCUCGACAUCUACGGGAGCAGCAGUGGGGAAUAUUGCACAAUGGGGGAAACCCUGAUGCAGCGACGCCGCGUGGAGGAAGAAGGUCUUCGGAUUGUAAACUCCUGUUGUUGGGGAAAAAGAGGAUGGUACCCAACAAGGAAGUGACGGCUAACUACGUGCCCGCAGCCGCGGUAAUCUGAGCGGGCUGGCAAGGC
This 197-nucleotide ribosomal RNA is filed under the name uncultured bacterium. RNAcentral describes it as "partial 16S ribosomal RNA". It matches the Rfam family "Bacterial small subunit ribosomal RNA", at positions 326 to 539 of the family's 1533-position model. The record is from RNAcentral.